GAUCAAACGCUCAGUGUCGGUGAAGGCAACAUAGGAAGGGGUAGUCCUGUUACCCUGGUCAUUGGCGAUGAUCUCAACACGAUCGUGUUGCCAGACACCAACGCAAGAGUAGGUAGUUCCGAGAUCGAUUCCGAUAGCCGGACCUUCUCCCUUGCCGGCCAUUAUGGUAGUUGUGAAACGGUGAUAGCAAGGAAGAAGAGAAGAAGAAAGAAGAAGCGGAGAUCUGGGAA
RNAcentral lists this unclassified non-coding RNA (230 nucleotides) under Hevea brasiliensis (rubber tree). Lineage: Eukaryota; Viridiplantae; Streptophyta; Magnoliopsida; Malpighiales; Euphorbiaceae. The record is from RNAcentral.